This 110-nucleotide transfer RNA is filed under the name Plectosphaerella plurivora. Its description in RNAcentral is "Plectosporium sp. AC-2010b tRNA". It matches the Rfam family "tRNA". Rfam says of the family: Transfer RNA (tRNA) molecules are approximately 80 nucleotides in length. Lineage: Eukaryota; Fungi; Ascomycota; Sordariomycetes; Glomerellales; Plectosphaerellaceae. The record is from Rfam by way of RNAcentral.
GGCAAGGUGGCCGAGUGGUUAAGGCGAUAGACUCGAAUAGGUCCGUUUAUCGGGCUGUCAUCGGUCAUCUAUUGGGUUCGCCCGCGUAGGUUCAAAUCCUGCCCUUGUCG